CGGAGGGUGCAAGCGUUAUCCGGAUUCACUGGGUUUAAAGGGUGCGUAGGUGGGUUGGUAAGUCAGUGGUGAAAUCUCCGUGCUUAACAUGGAAACUGCCAUUGAUACUACUGAUCUUGAAUUUUCAGGAGGUAAGCGGAAUAUGUCAUGUAGCGGUGAAAUGCUUAGAUAUGACAUAGAACAGCAAUUGCGAAGGCAGCUUACUACAGGAAUAUUGACACUGAUGCACGAAAGCGUGGGGAUCAAACAGGAUUAGAUACCCUGGUAGUCCACGCCCUAAACGAUGGAUACUCGACAUUUGUGAUACACAAUAAGUGUCUGAGCGAAAGCAUUAAGUAUCCCACCUGGGAAGUACGACCGCAAGGUUG
RNAcentral lists this ribosomal RNA (368 nucleotides) under uncultured organism. RNAcentral describes it as "bacterial SSU rRNA". It matches the Rfam family "Bacterial small subunit ribosomal RNA", at positions 526 to 896 of the family's 1533-position model. The record is from RNAcentral.